RNAcentral lists this ribosomal RNA (484 nucleotides) under uncultured bacterium. RNAcentral's name for it is "partial 16S ribosomal RNA". It matches the Rfam family "Bacterial small subunit ribosomal RNA", at positions 30 to 507 of the family's 1533-position model. The record is from RNAcentral.
AUUGAACGCUGGCGGCAGGCCUAACACAUGCCAGUCGAGCGGCUGCAGGGAGCUUGCUCCUGGAUUCAGCGGCGGACGGGUGAGUAAUGCCUAGGAAACUGCCUGGUGGUGGGGGAUAACGUCCGGAAACGGGCGCUAAUACCGCAUACGUCCUGUGGGAAAAAGUGGGGGAUCUUCGGACCUCACGCUCUCAGAUGAGCCUAGGUCGGAUUAGCUAGUUGGUGGGGUAAAGGCCUACCAAGGCGACGAUCCGUAACUGGUCUGAGAGGAUGAUCAGUCACACUGGAACUGAGACACGGUCCAGACUCCUACGGGAGGCAGCAGUGGGGAAUAUUGGACAAUGGGCGAAAGCCUGAUCCAGCCAUGCCGCGUGCGUGAAGAAGGUCUUCGGAUUGUAAAGCACUUUAGGUUGGGAGGAAGGGCAGUAAGUUAAUACCGUGCUGUUUUGACGUUACCGACAGAAUAAGCACCGGCUAACUUCGUG